UACAGAGGUUCCAAGCGUUGUUCGGAUUCACUGGGCGUAAAGGGUGCGUAGGCGGUCGGGUAAGUCUGAUGUGAAAUCUCCGGGCCCAACCCGGAAACUGCAUUGGAUACUAUUCGGCUAGAGGUUUGGAGGGGGGACUGGAAUUCUCGGUGUAGCAGUGAAAUGCGUAGAUAUCGAGAGGAACACCCGUGGCGAAGGCAAGUCCCUGGACAACACCUGACGCUGAGGCACGAAAGCUAGGGGAGCAAACAGG
Molecule: ribosomal RNA, 253 nt
Filed under: uncultured bacterium
Lineage: Bacteria
Description: partial 16S ribosomal RNA
Rfam family: Bacterial small subunit ribosomal RNA
Source: RNAcentral